RNAcentral lists this ribosomal RNA (333 nucleotides) under uncultured Glomeromycotina. RNAcentral describes it as "LSU rRNA". The record is from RNAcentral. Lineage: Eukaryota; Fungi; Glomeromycota.
CAGCUUUUUAGAGUGUGAUUAUGUGGAUUGUGAGGAGUUUAAUCACCCUCAUGUUUUACGUAUUCGUGCUCUUGGGUGUACUUGCCCGUGUGGUAGGUUAACAUCAAUUUUGGUCGUCAUAAAAUGACUGGAGGAAUGUAGCUUUGGUCUCGUAUCGAAGUGUUAUAGACUCUGGUAGAUGUGACGAUUGGGAUUGAGGAUUGCAACGGAUACCCUUCGGGGCUACUCGUCUGAUCUCUGAAGGUUGCUCCGGUGCCGAAAGCGUGCUUACGGUCAUCGAAAGUGAUUUUCAAAAGGUUAGAACGGGUUAAAUUCGUUAAGGAUGUUGACGUA